This 102-nucleotide non-coding RNA is filed under the name bovine gut metagenome. Its description in RNAcentral is "SAM riboswitch (S box leader)". It matches the Rfam family "SAM riboswitch aptamer (S box leader)". From Rfam's summary of the family: The SAM riboswitch is found upstream of a number of genes which code for proteins involved in methionine or cysteine biosynthesis in Gram-positive bacteria. The SAM riboswitch acts at the level of transcription termination control. The record is from RNAcentral.
CUUAUCCAGAGCGGCUGAGGGACUGGCCCAAUGAAGCCCGGCAACCGGCGGAAAACCGCAAGGUGCUAAUUCCAGCAGCGCGGCAACGCGCUGGCAGAUAAG